This is an RNA transcript of Vitis vinifera (wine grape), 1605 nucleotides long. RefSeq lists it as uncharacterized. The record is from RefSeq and is a predicted model, not a curated record. The transcript is spliced from 7 exons. NCBI's taxonomy places the organism in Eukaryota, Viridiplantae, Streptophyta, Magnoliopsida, Vitales, Vitaceae.
AAUCUGAUUGCUAUAGAAAUCAAAUCCUAUUUUUAUUGGAUUUUGAUUCGUUUCUUCUAGAGUGAUUCAUUUAAUCCCAUUUCCAUUAAUAUUUUUUAGGUGCCAAAUGCAACCUAAGGCUCAAGGAACGGGGGUGUUCCAUAGAUGUGUUGUGCAAAGUACCAGGAGGCCAAUCUGCCAGCAAUCAGAAUUUGUGAAGAGGGCAAAUGGGAAGUCGCAGUAAGGGCAACUACACAAACCCAUGUCUCACGUUGCAUCAACCAUGGGCUUCAUUGUUGGUUUAUGGUAUUAAGCGCGUCGAAGGACGAUCGUGGCCUGCUCCUCUCAGAGGCCGACUUUGGAUUCAUGCUGCUAGUAAGGUCCCAGAUUCAGACACAAUCAAAGCAAUGGAGAAUUUCUACAGGGAGAUCUAUGCUGUGAAUGGGAUAGCAGACCUCAAGUUUCCAGAACAUUACCCAGUUUCAAGACUGUUAGGUUGUGUUGAAGUAGUUGGUUGUGUUAAAUGUGAAGAGCUGGCGUGCUGGAAGGAGGUACCUGAAGGGGUAAGGCUAGAAGCGCAAACAGAGUUUUGCUGGCUCUGUGAGCAACCACAGAAAUUAAUCAUACCAUUUGAGAUGCGCGGGUACCAACGUAUUUAUAACCUGGAAAGAAAAAUAUAUGAGGCAGCAGUUAGGGGUCUUCGUCCUGUUCAAGCUCCACUACCUGUCAAGUUUCUGCUUCCAGAACCACAAGAUCCUCUCUCUUUGAAACCAGGAUCACUUGUUUCUUGCUUUGAUGGCUCUAAAGCUGCUGAAGACAAGAAACCAGAAGGUCUCCUUGCAGCCAUAGCUGGUGCACGAGCAGCUGCCACACAGUUCUCAAAGAAUGAUAAUCACCAAUCCAUAACAAUGCAAGGACAAGAUGCAGAUGUUUCCACAAGAACAAGGGAAGAAUCCGAGGAAUUUGAGAAGCUGGAUAGUGAAUUAAUUAAGAGGGCUGAUGCCAAAACACAAAGAAAUGCAGAAUAGCAACAUGGGAUCUGAAGGAACUUACCACUUUGGGGCUGCUGGAGGUGUUCAUUUUCCUCCCUUAAGCUAUUACUCUUAUCAAGAAGUCACUAUCUGCAUAUUUUCACUUUGUUCCCUAAGGCAGUGACAAUAUGAGUGGCAUAUGAUCGCAGGGAGAAGUAAUUGAAAGUCAGUGACAAUAUGAGUGGUGUAUGAUUCCAGGGAGAAGCAAUUCAAAUCUUAAAGCCUGUGGAAUUUAUACCUGCUUUAUUUAAUUUUAAUGUGUACAUAUGUGAAUACUGGUUGUUGAAGACUCUGGGAAACCCACACGACCUUUGUGACUUACUUUCAAGGUUCUGAUCUCCUUAGCAACUGAAGAUAAUAUUGGAGAGAACCCUGUACAAUAUUUCUAAUACAUUCCUAUGGUUUCCUGGUUAGAAUUGAGGCUUUUAGGAGUACUUUCAUAUUUCCUGAUGGGGAACUGGAUAAUAAUUUUAUCAAUUUCCUUUCUUAUGUAAUAAUGGCUAUGAAUAAUUUUCCUUGUUUGGAAAAUAAGUUUCUUUGUAGUAUGUGGUUCUCUUAUGGCAAUAUAUGUUAUGCUAAUCCAUUUUUACAUUAA